Molecule: long non-coding RNA, 362 nt
Organism: Perca fluviatilis (European perch)
Lineage: Eukaryota; Metazoa; Chordata; Actinopteri; Perciformes; Percidae
Exons: 4
Source: RefSeq, a predicted model, not a curated record
CUAGACUGUAGCAGCUGGUAGCACAGAGCUAGCGGCAGAAAUGACGUAAAAUUGAUAAAUUACGGACAUCGAGUGGAUAAAUCUUGGAUGUAAGCGUUUGGAUUUAUUGCUGAACAACUCCAAAAAGAGGCACAAGUUCCAGGCUGGAUAGAAAACCUUCUGGAAAGGCUACGAAGACAACAAAGACACCCACAUGACGGCUAGCUUCUUAGCUUCUAGCUGGAAAAAACGAUGCGCCCACAGAAAAGGAAAAGACAGUGAAGCAGUACGUAUCUUCAACACUCAGAGACAAAGUGUAGCAGGCGCUACGAACCGGAGCAAGGACUAACCUCGCCUCAUAACUAGGCCGUGACAUAUAUUUG